Molecule: ribosomal RNA, 406 nt
Filed under: uncultured bacterium
Lineage: Bacteria
Description: partial 16S ribosomal RNA
Rfam family: Bacterial small subunit ribosomal RNA
Source: RNAcentral
AUUGAACGCUGGCGGCAGGCCUAACACAUGCAAGUCGAACGAGUGGCGGACGGGUGAGUAAUGUCUGGGAAACUGCCCGAUGGAGGGGGAUAACUACUGGAAACGGUAGCUAAUACCGCAUACCAUCGGAUGUGCCCAGAGGGGAUUAGCUUGUAGGUGAGGUAACGGCUCACCUCGGCGACGAUCCCUAGCUGGUCUGAGAGGAUGCCCGGGAAAACUGGAACUGAGACACGGGCUAGACUCCUACGGGAGGCAGUAGGGGGGAGUAUUGCACAAGGGGCGCAAGCCUUAUGCAGCCAGGCCGCGUGUAUGGAGAAGGCCUUCGGGUUGUAAAGUACUUUCAGCGGGGAGGCGUUACCCGCAGAAGAAGCACCGGCUAACUCCGUGCCAGCAGCCGCGGUAAUUC